Molecule: ribosomal RNA, 169 nt
Filed under: uncultured bacterium
Lineage: Bacteria
Description: partial 16S ribosomal RNA
Rfam family: Bacterial small subunit ribosomal RNA
Source: RNAcentral
CCUACGGGAGGCAGCAGUGGGGAAUAUUGGACAAUGGGGGGAACCCUGAUCCAGCGACGCCGCGUGAGUGAAGAAGUAUUUCGGUAUGUAAAGCUCUAUCAGCAGGGAAGAUGAUGACGGUACCUGACUAAGAAGCCCCGGCUAACUACGUGCCAGCAGCCGCGGUAAU